Molecule: long non-coding RNA, 1652 nt
Filed under: Anolis carolinensis (green anole)
Lineage: Eukaryota; Metazoa; Chordata; Lepidosauria; Squamata; Anolidae
Description: lncRNA (ENSACAG00000035616.1)
Source: RNAcentral
CACUCCAAACCUUAGGAUUGUAUGAUGAUCUUCUUAUUAGUAGUAGUAGUAGUAGUAUUGAGAGGCUGGGUGGCCAUCUCGUGGGAGUGCUUGGAUUGUGUCCUGCAUGGCAGAAUUGGGUUGGACUGGAUGGCCUUUAGGGGUGUCUCCUAACUGUCUGAUGCUAUGAUUCAAUGUGUAUUAUUAUUGUGCAGAUAUUGGAUGGCCAUCUGUCAGGAGUGGUUGGAUUGUUUCCUCCUGCAUGAUAUAAGGAAGUUGAACUGGAUGAUUCUUAGGGGUAUCUGCUAACCUUAGGAUUGUAUGAUAUUCUUCUUCUUCUUCUUCUUCUUCUUCUUCUUCUUCUUCUUUUCUUAUUAUUAUUGAGAGGCUGGGUGGCCAUCUGUUGGGCAUGCUUGGAUUGUGUCCUCCAGGGCAGAAUUGGGUUGGACUGGAUUACCACAGUAAUUAUUUCAUAUUACAGUAGAAUCUCACUUAUCCAACAUUCGCUUAUCCAGUGUUCUGGAUUAUCCAACGCAGUCUGCCUUUUAGUAGUCAAUGUUUUUGUAGUCAAUGUUUUAAAUUCAUUGUGAUAUUUUGGUGCUAAAUUUGUAAAUACAGUAAUGACAACAUAGCAUUACUGAGCAUUGAACUACUUUUUCUGUCAAAUUUGUUGUAUAACAUUAUGUUUGGUGCUUAAUUUGUAUAAUCAUUACCUAAUUUGAUGUUUACUCGGCUUUUCCUGAAUCCCUUCUUAUUAUUCCAACAUAUUCACAUAUCCAACGUUCUGCCGGCCUAUUUAUGUUCGAUAAGUGAGACUCUACUGUAUAUUUAUAAUCUUAUAUUAUCUGCGUAGAACUGGAGUAUAUGAGGCCCCUUCUACACAGCUGUAUAAAAUGCACACUGAAGUGGAUUAUCUGGCAGUGUGGACUCAAGAUAAUCCAGUGCAAAGCAGAUAAUAUAAGAUUAUAAAUGGGUAAUAUAGCUGUGUGGAAGGGCCUUGAGUCUACACUGCCAUAUAAUCCAGUGAAAAUUAGGUAAUCUGUAUUUUAUAGGCAGUGUGGAAGAGGCCUGAGGCCUAACUGUGCCUGUCCCCUGGGCUGAGUAGGUUGCUAGGAGACCAAGUGGUCAGAGUUUAGCCUUGUAACUGGCAGCAAUUGGAUAAAAAACAAUUAUUCCUCUCCCUCUAAUUAGGACUUUAUUUUUCUUUUCUUUUUGUUGUAUGAACGUAGAGGCAUAGAUGAGGGGUUGUGUUGCCAAGAUUAGUGUUUCUGGGAUGUGUAGUUUUGUUGUUUUGUACUAGGCCGAACUUUUUUUAUCCUUUUAUAUAUAUAGAUUGCAAAGUCAAGGGGUUUUUUUUGGAUUAAAUAAUAUUUUAAAACUGUGGAUAGUUGAAUCUGUAGAUACAGAAUCCACCAAUAUGAAGGACCAACUGCAUUUCCUUUCUUGCAGAUAUGUGCAUUAGCUCUAGUAAUUUUGGGUAAGACCCCACAAGUUCAGAAAAAAAGACCAAUGGAUCACUUAAGUUUUCUUUUGACUUUGCUGUAAUGUGCAAAGUGGCUUUGAAGGUUGACAAUCAUCCCAUUCCUUCCAUUCACUCUAUAGAGAGGCAGUGUAUCCUCCAACAUUUGGGGAUAGAAAGGGCAAGACAUUAGAAUUCACUAGAUUCAGAAAAU